AAAAAGACCAAACCCUAACAUCCAUGACCCCUGCAACAACCUAAUGCAUGCAUGCAUUACUCACGAAAACUAAACCAACACCCAACUCAAGGGAGUAAACCGCCACCUGCACCACUGCCGGCACCAGCCCCAAGGCCGCUAGUUCCUCCAAUGCCACUACCGAGCCCACCCAAGCCACCAACACCACCGACUCCAGCACCAACGACGGGAACA
This 213-nucleotide unclassified non-coding RNA is filed under the name Hevea brasiliensis (rubber tree). The record is from RNAcentral. Lineage: Eukaryota; Viridiplantae; Streptophyta; Magnoliopsida; Malpighiales; Euphorbiaceae.